This 375-nucleotide ribosomal RNA is filed under the name uncultured bacterium. RNAcentral's name for it is "bacterial SSU rRNA". It matches the Rfam family "Bacterial small subunit ribosomal RNA", at positions 524 to 898 of the family's 1533-position model. The record is from RNAcentral.
UACGGAGGGUGCGAGCGUUAAUCGGAAUUACUGGGCGUAAAGCGCAUGCAGGUGGUGAGUUAAGUCAGAUGUGAAAGCCCGGGGCUCAACCUCGGAAUAGCAUUUGAAACUGGCUGACUAGAGUACUGUAGAGGGGGGUAGAAUUUCAGGUGUAGCGGUGAAAUGCGUAGAGAUCUGAAGGAAUACCGGUGGCGAAGGCGGCCCCCUGGACAGAUACUGACACUCAGAUGCGAAAGCGUGGGGAGCAAACAGGAUUAGAUACCCUGGUAGUCCACGCCGUAAACGAUGUCUACUUGGAGGCUGUUCCCUUGAGGAGUGGCUUUCGGAGCUAACGCGUUAAGUAGACCGCCUGGGGAGUACGGUCGCAAGAUUAAA